Molecule: non-coding RNA, 115 nt
Organism: Pseudonaja textilis
Lineage: Eukaryota; Metazoa; Chordata; Lepidosauria; Squamata; Elapidae
Source: RefSeq, a predicted model, not a curated record
ACCUCAGCUAGAACCAAAAAAAAUGGCGCCCGACCACGAGGCGGCGCCAAGAUGGCGGCCGCGAGCUGAGCUAUCGUCGGGGCCCCUCGGGACGGAAGGGAGGGCUCCUCCGGCU